AAUGAACGCUGGCGGCGUGCUUAACACAUGCAAGUCGAACGAGAAAGGCUGAUUUCGGUUGGCCGAGUAAAGUGGCGCACGGGUGAGUAACGCGUAGGCAACCUACCCUUGUAUUGGGGAUAACCCCGCGAAAGCGGGGCUAAUACCGAAUAAGACCCGAUUUCGGUGGGAAUUGGGUGAAAGUCGGCCGCUCGAAGAAGCUGACGUGCGAGGAUGGGCCUGCGUCCUAUCAGCUAGUUGGUGGGGUAGUGGCCUACCAAGGCGACGACGGGUAGCUGGUCUGAGAGGAUGAUCAGCCACACUGGCACUGGAACACGGGCCAGACUCCUACGGGAGGCUG
This 340-nucleotide ribosomal RNA is filed under the name uncultured Pseudomonadota bacterium. RNAcentral describes it as "bacterial SSU rRNA". It matches the Rfam family "Bacterial small subunit ribosomal RNA", at positions 29 to 351 of the family's 1533-position model. Lineage: Bacteria; Pseudomonadati; Pseudomonadota. The record is from RNAcentral.